Molecule: long non-coding RNA, 1468 nt
Organism: Symphalangus syndactylus (siamang)
Lineage: Eukaryota; Metazoa; Chordata; Mammalia; Primates; Hylobatidae
Source: RefSeq, a predicted model, not a curated record
UACACUACCCAGAAUCCUCAGCGCGGCCGGGACUACGCUACCCAGCAUCCUCGGCGCGGCCCGGGGCUAUACGACCGUCCGUGUCGCAUCCCCUCGGUGGACUACACUCCCCAGAGUCCUCGGAAGUCGUCCAGAUACACGCCCCAGAAUGUUGGGCAUAGCCGUCACCGGGGACUGCGCGACCCGGAAUCCUUGGAAGGACUCCUCGGAAGGACUCCUCUCUGACGGGUGGUGCGAGCCCAUGGUCUUUUGGACGCGGAGGGAUCCUUUCAGAUCCUGUGAUUUAUUUAUGUAGCCCUAUACAUACAUUAAGAAUAUUUUCCCAUUUCUAUGAUAUAGGUCUGCUGGAGUUUGCUGGGGGUCCACUCCAGACCCUGUUUACCUGGGUGUCACCAGCGGAGGCUGCAGAACAGCAAAGAUUAUUGCCUGUUCCUUUUUCUGGAAGCUUCAUCCCAGAAGGUCACCCGCCAGAUGCCAGCCAGAGCUUGUUGCAGGAAGUCAGGGACCCUGAACAGAGGGACUGACUGAAGCCAUGGCAGAAGAACAUGAAUUGUGAAGAUUUCAUGGACAUUUAUUAGUUCCCCAAAUUAAUUCUUUUAUAAUUUCCUAUGCCUGUCUUUACUGCAGUCUCUAAACACAAAUUGUGAAGAUUUCAUGGACACUUAUCACUUCCCCAGUCAAUACCCUUAUGAUUUCCUAUGCCUGUCUUUACUUUAAUCUCUUAAUCCUGUCAGCUGAGGAGGAUGUAUGUCACCUCAGGACCCUGUGAUAAUUGCGUUAACUGCACAAAUGGUAGAGCAUGUGUGUUUGAACAAUAUGAAAUCUGGGCAUCUUGAAAAAAGAACAGAAUAACAGCAAUGUUCAGGGAAUAAGAGAGAUAACCUUAAACUCUGGCCGCCGGUGAGCCGGGUGGAACAGAGCCAUAUUUCUCUUCUUUCAAAAGCAAAUGGGAGAAAUAUCACUGAAUUCUUUUUCUCAGCAAGGAACAUCCCUGAGAAACGGCAUGUGCCCCAAGGAUGGGUCUCUAAAAUGGCCCCCUUGGGUGUGGCCAUCUUCUAUGGUUGAAACUGUAGGGAUGAAAUAAAACCCAGUCUCCCAUAGCACUCCCAGGCUUAUUAGGAAGAGGAAAUUCCCACCUAAUAAAUUUUGGUCAGACUGAUUGCUCUCAAAUUCUGUCUCCUUAUAAGAUGUUAUCAAUGACAAUGGUGCCCAAAACUUCAUUAGCAAUUUUAAUUUUGCUGUGGUCCUGUGGUCCUGUGAUCUCGCCCUGCCUCCAUUUUCCUUGUGAUAUUCUAUUACCUCGUGAAGCACAUGAUCUCUGUGACCCACACCCUAUUCGUACACUCCCUCCCCUUUUGAAAAUCCCUAAAAAAAACUUACUGGUUUUGCGGCUUGUGGGGCCUCACGGAACUUACCGUCAUGUGAUGUCUGCCCUGGAUGCCCAGCUUUAAAAUUUCUCUCUUUUGUA